UCCUACGGGAGGCAGCAGUGGGGAAUUUUGGACAAUGGGCGCAAGCCUGAUCCAGCAAUGCCGCGUGAGUGAAGAAGGCCUUCGGGUUGUAAAGCUCUUUGGACGGGGACGAUGAUGACGGUACCCGCAGAACAAGCCCCGGCUAACUUCGUGCCAGCAGCCGCGGUA
This 168-nucleotide ribosomal RNA is filed under the name uncultured Alphaproteobacteria bacterium. RNAcentral's name for it is "partial 16S ribosomal RNA". It matches the Rfam family "Bacterial small subunit ribosomal RNA", at positions 337 to 522 of the family's 1533-position model. Lineage: Bacteria; Pseudomonadati; Pseudomonadota; Alphaproteobacteria. The record is from RNAcentral.